GCAAAACAGGGUGUGAGAACUAAACAAAGUUCCCAGUGGGUUCGGCCGUCGACCCCGCCGAUUUUUCCACUAGGUUUAAGAAAGGCAUAGAAACAAUAAAGAGGUCAACAUGUCAAAGGAAUAAUAGAUAUAACAUUAAGCCUACCCUGCUCAUCUACAUCUAUAUCAUGUUCAAAUGUGUAGCUAUGCCUUUACUAAUCAUGUCAACAAGUAUAAGUUUAAGUUCUUCCAUAUAUGCAAACUAUAUAUGAAAUGCCAUGAUCAUGCCUUGUGCCAAAUCCAAUCGAUUCGCCCGAAGGUCGAACCACUCGCCACACACUGUCACGGGACCGUGACGUCUGAUGGGAGAGGCCCCCCGUUAUAUUCGCAAUAGUGAUAUAACUCCGUAGCUCACUGCUUGGGAGGCGCGACCAUCCACAAGCUAUAACAGACAACGUGAGUAUGAUCAAGUCUUCCCACCCGAGGACCGCGGGAAUACCACAUCCCUAUCCAUCUCAAGGCAUGCCAUGCUCAUGUCGGCCACAUAUGCAAUGGUUUCCAAUUCUGACAAUAUCAUUGGUUCACAUACUAGUUUCUCAUGAAUCUAGUCUAUUCUCACAUCAUAUCCACAUGCAUAUGUCCACUAGCAACUCAUACAACAUGUAUAAAUAUCUAUAUUGGCAUUGUCACGCCCCGAGACCGAUGCCAAUUUGGCCCGACCCGAGCACGUCAAACAGACGCCGAACGGACAGAGUUUCCCCUGUCCGCCCAAGGCUCAUCACAUGUACAAAAUUCAAACAAGAAUUGCACUAGCGGAAACAUACACAAACGGCUUACACGAGGGUAAGCAAUAGCCAUUAGUGAAAGAUAGGAAAACUAAACUUCUACACAAGUAAUAUGAUUCAUUUUAGAUCAUAUACAUUGCAUCCAUCUCUUAAAAUAGGAUUCUUUGCAUUUCAUUACAUAAUUUCAUCAUUUCUUUCUUACAUCACACUUACCUCAAAAUAAGCUUUACAUUCUUUUCUUUACAUCACUAUCAUCAAGUACAAAAGAUGAUAAAAGGGUGUCUACUAACAAAAUGUAAACCCAACUCUGGUGGCCUCUGACUACGGCGCGAUACCUUUACCUCGGUCGCUCGCCGGCUCGCUCGGUCCCGGCUCUGUGGAAAUAGUGGGGUGAGAACUACAACAAAGUUCCCAGUGGGUUCGGCCUCAACAUCACCGACUUUCCCACUAGGACUAACUCAGGCAUAAUAGAAAGGAUAAACAGGAUAUAGUAACCAAUCUAUAACAUGAUGCUAAUAUGCCCGAACAGAUAGCAAGAAAUAUGCUCAACAUUAAAUAAAUGUAGAUUAUGCAAACUCAUUCGUUCUUUGACUUUACUUUGUACUUUGUUCUUUAUUCUUUGCUCUUUGUUCUUUGUUCUUUAAUCAUUAAGGCUAACCCGGGGGCUUCGCCACAUUAACUUGCUUCACAUUAAGUCCAUCAUCGUAGGAACUCACCAGCUAGGACCGUCCUUUCGGGUCUACUGCAACCCGGAUGCAUAACUCCGGAGCGCAUCGCCCGAGGGGGAGCGACCGCCCUCGAGCACGGAACUCAUAGCAAGCAUGAUCAUAUCCUUAACUCAAAGGAUUUAUAAGUUCAAUCUUGACUUUACACUAGCUCUAGUGUUCAUUAUAUCGCUUUAUGUUGCAAACUCAUGCAAUCACAUUUUCUUUUGCCUUCUUUACUUUGCUAACUCUAGCAUUCAUAUUCCCUACAUCACUUUGGUUCUUUAGAUCACACUAAUUCAAGUGUCGCUUUACUUUGACAUUAUCCUUUUCAUCAUUCUUUACAUCACUUUGGUUCUUUGCCUCACACUAACUCUAGUGUCUCUUUACUUUACAUUUUCAAAUGCCACUCGAUCUAUGUCAUUGUGCCACUCUGUUCUUUUGCUCACUUUGGGUACUCACAUUUUCUCUCAUGCAUACAUCUAGGGUUUUGACAUCAUUAGGUUCUCAACCAUCUCAUUAUGCAAGUUGUGCUCACAAUCAUGCAAUCAUCACAUUUCAUCAUUACUUUACCCUAAAAUGCAUGCAACAAUAUAUAGAACAUAUGCUCAAAGAAUGACACAUUAGGCAUAGAGAGAAUUUCAAUGAGUUUGAAAAGCACCACCCACCUCGUAGGCUUUCAAAGGUGCUCCGAUGAUUUUCUUGGGAUUUUUAGAUGCUUCGUUCUUUACCUGCGGCAAAACGAACCCUUAUUAGGCCAUUUUGCCCAUAACUUUACUUUGACUUUUCGUAACGUUAAUCCGAGCGCACCAACGCGUCGGAAAUACCCCCAAUUAGGUUUUUAGAGGGUCAAUUGCACUUAGAAACCCUCAUGAGCAAAAGCCCCAAUUUGGUGCCCUAGCUCCAAUACACAUGUCAAACCUAGGGUUUGAUCUCAAAGAGAAGCAAAAAUAGCUUCAUUAUACUCUAAAAAGUUCAUUAGAACCAUCUUUAGACAAAUCAAAACCCUACUUAGGGUUUCACCAUGAGAGGUGAUGAAGCUCACCUCAAGCUUCACCAUUUCUAUGGUCUUGAUCUCAAAAGAAGCAAAAGAAAAGCUUCAAAUACUCAAAUGGUUCCAUAAAACCCAUUUCAAGCUUAAUCCAAACCCUAGAUUAGGUUCUACCAUGAUUAGGGUUCAAAGCUUACCUUGUAAGCCCUUCUUUUCCAAGCUAGAGAUGAGGGAGAGGGAGUUUCUUCACUUCCUCUUCUUCUUCUCCUUUUUCUUCUCCUUCUUUUCCUUCCUUUCCUUGUCUUCUUCUUCUCCUUUGUCUUCUAGAGAGAGAGGGAGAGAAGAGAGUGUGAGAGGGUGAGAAUGAGAGAAAUGUCUCAUUUACCCCAAUACUAUUCUCAAUGGGUUGCAAAAUUGCAGCUAAACCCCUCAACUUUCACUUUAAUACACUGCCCGAACUGGGCAGUUCGCGCAGGCAGGGACCGGUCUCUCCCUUUAGGGACCGGUUCCCGAACGUUGUCCCAGCGCAGCCAGAGCUGCUGCGCGCAGUGCAACCGGUCUCUCUCUGUGGGACCGGUCUCUCGGGGACCGGUCUCUCAGGCAGGGAUCGGUUCCCGAGAGCUACUUUCUCAGGACUUAGCCGAUUUUCCGGCUGUCUCAUUUCAUACGCAUUCGGGGACCGGUCUCUCCCACUAGGGACCGGUCCCCGAGAGCUGAAAAUCUGCAGUUUUGCAGAAUUUGAUUCUUUAGCUCUCGAAAACCUUCCACCACUCACUUUUGAUCACUUUAACACCUUCGGACUCUCCGAAGUGUUCCAUCCUCGCACUUUGGUCAAUUCGACUAAAGUUCGACCUUUUUAUUUUCCGAAUUUACGGUAUAUUACAGGCAUCAUAUAAAAGUUCUCAUGCAACAUAUAUGUCCACAUCUAUCUCAACAUCAUGCAAAUAGAUAUUCCUACAAGUAUCAUGCAAUCAUGGAUCAUUAUUCCUCACACUAAGCAUGAAAUUACCACAACUCAUAGGAUUCUCACUAUUCUAUACAUUAUGAUAUAUGAUCAAUAAUAGUAGAACUUAGACAUAGAAUGAAACUCGGCUAAUUCGGAUAGCACCCCCAACUCGUGGCGUCGACACGAAGCGGGUAGCCUAGCAGCGCGAUUUAUGGCCGUCGAUUUCUUCCGACUCAAACCCAAGCUCUCUUCAAGCCAAUGGUGAAGAAGAAGAAAGCUUCACCUCCAAGUAAGCUUCUUCCACCAAAUCUCCACUAUUGGAGCAAAACUCUAGGAGAGAGAGAGGUUUAGAGAGAGAAAAAGAAGGUUUCUCUUUUGGUUUAAGUAGUGGAGAAUGAGAGAAAAGGCUCAAGUCCCUUAUAUAUAUAGGAAACUUCACCUCCAAGUAAACCCUUCACUUACACAUAAGAAACUUCACCUCCAAGUAAACCCUUCACUUACACAUAGGAAACUUCACCUCCAAGUAAACCCUUCACUUACACAUAGGAAACUUCUUUAAGUCCAAUAAAAAUAGUAUCUUACACUAUUUUUAUUUACACUUACUUCUAUAUUAAAAAUUCGAUACACUACAUUAAGGCUCUCUUAUAUUUACAUCACAUUGCCUUUUUACAUUUUUCCCAAAAUGAAUACAUAAUCAUUUUUC
Molecule: long non-coding RNA, 4108 nt
Filed under: Ananas comosus (pineapple)
Lineage: Eukaryota; Viridiplantae; Streptophyta; Magnoliopsida; Poales; Bromeliaceae
Description: long non-coding RNA (ACOM_LNC016680)
Source: RNAcentral